CAUGCAGAGCAGGAUGACUGUUCCUGCCCCAAAUGAGAGCUGAUUCAACACAUUUAGUUUCAGUUAGUUGAGUGCUAACUUCUGUUGAGUUUUACCUACAUCUUAUGUCAGUGUUGGGUUAUGGUGUCUAUACUUACCAUCUUCCAAUUUAGCCCAAUAUCACAAAUUUGACUUUCAAUUAAGGGGUUUUACAGCAUACGAAACCUUCUGUCCUCUGACCCUUGAUUUGGAUAUGGAAAAACUUCCUGAAAUAAACCCUAUAAUGGUGAAAAAAUGGAAAAAAAACUCAAGAGACGAGGGAUCCCUCUUCCAGGAUGGACAGUGAUGCAAUAUUUGUUGUGUGUGCAAAAUAGACAAACAUGGUACAAUUACAGUUUUGACACUGAGUAUGACCAGUUAUAAAUUGUAAACAUGCAUGAAC
Molecule: long non-coding RNA, 421 nt
Organism: Sander lucioperca (pikeperch)
Lineage: Eukaryota; Metazoa; Chordata; Actinopteri; Perciformes; Percidae
Exons: 2
Source: RefSeq, a predicted model, not a curated record